This 253-nucleotide ribosomal RNA is filed under the name uncultured bacterium. RNAcentral's name for it is "partial 16S ribosomal RNA". It matches the Rfam family "Bacterial small subunit ribosomal RNA", at positions 524 to 776 of the family's 1533-position model. The record is from RNAcentral.
UACGUAGGGUGCGAGCGUUAAUCGGAAUUACUGGGCGUAAAGCGUGCGCAGGCGGUUCGUUAAGUCUGUCGUGAAAGCCCUGGGCUCAACCUGGGAAUUGCGAUGGAUACUGGCGAGCUAGAGUACGGUAGAGGAUGGUGGAAUUCCCGGUGUAGCGGUGAAAUGCGUAGAGAUCGGGAGGAACCCCAGAGGCGAAGGCGGCGUUCUGGCUCGCAACUGACGCUCAGACACGACAGCAUGGGGAGCGAACAGG